Molecule: ribosomal RNA, 550 nt
Filed under: uncultured eukaryote
Lineage: Eukaryota
Description: SSU rRNA
Rfam family: Eukaryotic small subunit ribosomal RNA
Source: RNAcentral
GUAGUCAUAUGCUUGUCUCAAAGAUUAAGCCAUGCAUGUCUAAGUAUAAGCAAUUAUACCGCGAAACUGCGAAUGGCUCAUUAUAUAAGUUAUCGUUUAUUUGAUAGUACCUUACUACUUGGAUAACCGUGGUAAUUCUAGAGCUAAUACAUGCUAAAAAUCCCGACUUCGGAAGGGAUGUAUUUAUUAGAUUAAAAGCCAAUGCCCUCUGGGCUCUCUGGUGAUUCAUGAUAACUUCUCGAAUCGCAUGGCCUUGCGCCGGCGAUGGUUCAUUCAAAUUUCUUCCCUAUCAACUUUCGAUGUUUGGGUAUUGGCCAAACAUGGUUGCAACGGGUAGCGGAGGGUUAGGGCUCGACCCCGGAGAAGGAGCCUGAGAAACGGCUACUACAUCCAAGGAAGGCAGCAGGCGCGCAAAUUACCCAAUCCCGACACGGGGAGGUAGUGACAAUAAAUACUGAUACAGGGCUCUUUUGGGUCUUGUAAUUGGAAUGAGUACAAUUUAAAUCCCUUAACGAGGAACAAUUGGGGGGCAAGUCUGGUGCCAGCAGCC